GAUGAACGCUAGCGGCAGGCCUAAUACAUGCAAGUCGAACGGUAAAUCUUGUGCUUGCACAAGAUACGAGUGGCGCACGGGUGCGUAACGCGUAUGCAACCUACCUUCAACUGGGGGAUAGCCCGGAGAAAUUCGGAUUAAUACCCCAUAGUAUCACCAGAUGGCAUCUGAAGGUGAUUAAAGAUUUAUUGGUUGAAGAUGGGCAUGC
RNAcentral lists this ribosomal RNA (208 nucleotides) under uncultured bacterium. Its description in RNAcentral is "partial 16S ribosomal RNA". It matches the Rfam family "Bacterial small subunit ribosomal RNA", at positions 28 to 234 of the family's 1533-position model. The record is from RNAcentral.